GCAUAUCAAUAAGCGGAGGAAAAGAAACCAACCGGGAUUGCCUUGGUAACGGCGAGUGAAGCGGCAAAAGCUCAAAUUUGAAAUCUGGCGUCUUCGACGUCCGAGUUGUAAUUUGAAGAAGGCGACUUUGUAGCUGGUCCUUGUCUAUGUUCCUUGGAACAGGACGUCAUAGAGGGUGAGAAUCCCGUGUGGCGAGGAUCCCAGUUAUUUGUAAAGUGCUUUCGACGAGUCGAGUUGUUUGGGAAUGCAGCUCUAAGUGGGUGGUAAAUUCCAUCUAAAGCUAAAUAUUGGCGAGAGACCGAUAGCGAACAAGUACAGUGAUGGAAAGAUGAAAAGAACUUUGAAAAGAGAGUGAAAAAGUACGUGAAAUUGUUGAAAGGGAAGGGCAUUUGAUCAGACAUGGCGUUUGCUUCGGCUUUCGCUGGGCCAGCAUCAGUUUUAGCGGUUGGAUAAAUCCUCGGGAAUGUGGCUCUGCUUCGGUAGAGUGUUAUAGCCCGUGGGAAUACAGCCAGCUGGGACUGAGGAUUGCGACUUUUGUCAAGGAUGCUGGCGUAAUGGUUAAAUGCCGCCCGUCUUGAAACACGGACC
This 588-nucleotide ribosomal RNA is filed under the name uncultured yeast. Its description in RNAcentral is "eukaryotic LSU rRNA". It matches the Rfam family "Eukaryotic large subunit ribosomal RNA", at positions 38 to 667 of the family's 3401-position model. Lineage: Eukaryota; Fungi. The record is from RNAcentral.